GAUGAACGCUGGCGGCGUGCCUAAUACAUGCGAGUCGAGCGAACAGACGAGGAGCUUGCUCCUCUGACGUUAUCGGCGGACGGGUGAGUAACACGUGGAUAACCUACCUAUAAGACUGGGAUAACUUCGGGAAACCGGAGCUAAUACCGGAUAAUAUAUUGAACCGCAUGGUUCAAUAGUGAAAGACGGUUUUGCUGUCACUUAUAGAUGGAUCCGCGCCGCAUUAGCUAGUUGGUAAGGUAACGGCUUACCAAGGCGACGAUGCGUAGCCGACCUGAGAGGGUGAUCGGCCACACUGGAACUGAGACACGGUCCAGACUCCUACGGGAGGCAGCAGUAGGGAAUCUUCCGCAAUGGGCGAAAGCCUGACGGAGCAACGCCGCGUGAGUGAUGAAGGUCUUCGGAUCGUAAAACUCUGUUAUUAGGGAAGAACAAAUGUGUAAGUAACUAUGCACGUCUUGACGGUACCUAAUCAGAAAGCCACGGCUAACUACGUG
RNAcentral lists this ribosomal RNA (497 nucleotides) under uncultured bacterium. Its description in RNAcentral is "partial 16S ribosomal RNA". It matches the Rfam family "Bacterial small subunit ribosomal RNA", at positions 28 to 507 of the family's 1533-position model. The record is from RNAcentral.